ACAGGGGAUGCAAGUGUUAUCCGGAUUCAUUGGGCGUAAAGCGUCUGCAGGUGGAUAUCUAAGUCUGUUGUUAAAUCUUUGGGCUUAACCCAAAAUCUGCAACAGAAACUAUAUAUCUCGAGUAUGGUAGAGGUAAAGGGAAUUUCCGGUGGAGCGGUGAAAUGCGUAGAUAUCGGAAAGAACACCAACUGCGAAGGCGCUUUACUGGGCCAUUACUGACACUCAGAGACGAAAGCUAAGGGAGCAAACAGGAUUAGAUACCCUGGUAGUCUUAGCUGUAAACGAUGGAUACUAGAUGUUGUGUAUCUUUGAUAUGCAGUGUCGUAGCUAACGCGAUAAGUAUCCCGCCUGGGAAGUAUGCUCGCAAGAGUG
This 372-nucleotide ribosomal RNA is filed under the name uncultured bacterium. RNAcentral's name for it is "bacterial SSU rRNA". It matches the Rfam family "Bacterial small subunit ribosomal RNA", at positions 525 to 896 of the family's 1533-position model. The record is from RNAcentral.